RNAcentral lists this ribosomal RNA (486 nucleotides) under Stoliczkia vanhnuailianai (Lushai hills dragon snake). RNAcentral's name for it is "partial large subunit ribosomal RNA". It matches the Rfam family "Bacterial large subunit ribosomal RNA", at positions 1917 to 2621 of the family's 2925-position model. Lineage: Eukaryota; Metazoa; Chordata; Lepidosauria; Squamata; Xenodermidae. The record is from RNAcentral.
AACAAUUUAACGGGCCGCGGGUACCCUAACCGUGCAAAGGUAGCAUAAUCAUUUGUCUACUAAUUAUAGACCUGUAUGAAAGGCAAAAUGAGAGUCCAACUGUCUCCUGCAAUCAAUCAAUAAAACUGAUCUCCCAGUCCAAAAGCUGGGAUAUGACUAUAAGACCAGAAGACCCUGUGAAGCUUAAACUAAACUAUUACCCACACUAAUAGCUACUUUAGGUUGGGGCGACCUUGGAAAAAAAAGAAACUUCCAAAAGUGACCUUCCAUCACCAACCAGGCCAACAAGCCACCACCGACCCAGACAACUGACUACUGAACCAAGUUACUCCAGGGAUAACAGCGCCAUCUUCUUCAAGAGCCCAUAUCAAAAAGAAGGUUUACGACCUCGAUGUUGGAUCAGGACACCCAAAUGGUGCAGCCGCUAUUAAAGGUUCGUUUGUUCAACGAUUAACAGUCCCACGUGAUCUGAGUUCAAAACCGGAG